GGAGGCGUGGCAGAGCGGUCGAUCGCACGAGUCUUGAAAACUCGAGUCCGGGAAACCGGACCGGAGGUUCGAAUCCUCCCGCCUCCG
This 87-nucleotide transfer RNA is filed under the name bacterium. RNAcentral describes it as "tRNA-Ser". It matches the Rfam family "tRNA". From Rfam's summary of the family: Transfer RNA (tRNA) molecules are approximately 80 nucleotides in length. Their secondary structure includes four short double-helical elements and three loops (D, anti-codon, and T loops). The record is from RNAcentral.